AAACGUCUGAAUGCCUCGGGCCCUUAAAUG
Molecule: non-coding RNA, 30 nt
Filed under: Rattus norvegicus (Norway rat)
Lineage: Eukaryota; Metazoa; Chordata; Mammalia; Rodentia; Muridae
Source: RNAcentral